This 460-nucleotide ribosomal RNA is filed under the name uncultured bacterium. Its description in RNAcentral is "partial 16S ribosomal RNA". It matches the Rfam family "Bacterial small subunit ribosomal RNA", at positions 338 to 795 of the family's 1533-position model. The record is from RNAcentral.
CCUACGUGGAGCAGCAGUGAGGAAUAUUGGUCAAUGGCCGGAAGGCUGAACCAGCCAUGCCGCGUGAAGGUCAGUGCCCUAUGGGCGUUAAACUUCUUUUGUGCGGGAGCAAUAAUGGUCACGUGUGGCCAGACGAGAGUACCGUACGAAUAAGCAUCGGCUAACUCCGUGCCAGCAGCCGCGGUAAUACGGGGGAUGCAAGCGUUAUCCGGAUUUAUUGGGUUUAAAGGGUGCGUAGGCUGUGAGGUAAGUCAGCGGUGAAAUGCCCCCGCUCAACGGGGUGAAGUGCCAUUGAUACUGCCUUGCUGGAAUGCGGAUGCAGUGGGAGGAAUGUGUGGUGGAGCGGUGAAAUGCAUAGAUAUCACACAGAACACCGAGUGCGAAGGCAUCUCACGAAUCCGCGAUUGACGCUGAUGCACGAAAGCGUGGGUAUCAAACAGGAUUAGAUACCCCAGUAGUC